GCACGUKUCGGAUUAUUGGGCGUAAGAGCUCGUAAGCGGCUUGUCGCGUCUGCUGUGAAAGCCCGGGGCUUAACUCCGGGUGUGCAGUGGGUACGGGCAGGCUAGAGUGCAGUAGGGGUAACUGGAAUUCCUGGUGUAGCGGUGAAAUGCGCAGAUAUCAGGAGGAACACCGAUGGCGAAGGCAGGUUACUGGGCUGUUACUGACGCUGAGGAGCGAAAGCAUGGGGAGCGAACAGGAUUAGAUACCCUGGUAGUCCAUGCCGUAAACGUUGGGCACUAGGUGUGGGGGACAUUCCACGUUUUCCGCGCCGUAGCUAACGCAUUAAGUGCCCCGCCUGGGGAGUACGGCCGCAAGGCUAAAACUCAAAGGAAUUGACGGGGGCCCGCACAAGCGGCGGAGCAUGCGGAUUAAUUCGAUGCAACGCGAAGAACCUUACCAAGGCUUGACAUACACCGGAUCGUUCCAGAGAUGGUUCUUCCCUUUUGGGCUGGUGUACAGGUGGUGCAUGGUUGUCGUCAGCUCGUGUCGUGAGAUGUUGGGUUAAGUCCCGCAACGAGCGCAACCCUCGUUCUAUGUUGCCAGCACGUGAUGGUGGGGACUCAUAGGAGACUGCCGGGGUCAACUCGGAGGAAGGUGGGGAUGACGUCAAAUCAUCAUGCCCCUUAUGUCUUGGGCUUCACGCAUGCUACAAUGGCCGGUACAAUGGGUUGCGAUACUGUGAGGUGGAGCUAAUCCCAAAAAGCCGGUCUCAGUUCGGAUUGGGGUCUGCAACUCGACCCCAUGAAGUCGGAGUCGCUAGUAAUCGCAGAUCAGCAACGCUGCGGUGAAUACGUUCCCGGGCCUUGUACACACCGCCCGUCAAGUCACGAAAGUUGGUAACACCCGAAGCCGAUGGCCUAACCCUUGUGGAGGGAGUCGUCGAAGGUGGGACUGGCGAUUGGGACUAAGUCGUAACAAGGUAACCGUAAAGGG
This 973-nucleotide ribosomal RNA is filed under the name uncultured bacterium. RNAcentral describes it as "bacterial SSU rRNA". It matches the Rfam family "Bacterial small subunit ribosomal RNA", at positions 538 to 1509 of the family's 1533-position model. The record is from RNAcentral.